Molecule: microRNA precursor, 93 nt
Filed under: Canis lupus familiaris (dog)
Lineage: Eukaryota; Metazoa; Chordata; Mammalia; Carnivora; Canidae
Also listed under: 1 other name
Description: mir-8799 microRNA precursor family
Rfam family: mir-8799 microRNA precursor family
Source: Rfam by way of RNAcentral
AGGGAAAUGCCGGAUCAUGGGCUGUGUUCCCUGGCACCUUGUGCUCUGCAGCCUGCACUGCUGGAAUCAUGCUCCAGGACUGUGCAGCCCCCU